CCUCCUCUCCCCUCCCAUUCCCCAAUCUACCCUGAAUCCUCAAUCAAUUAGUAAAUAAAUAUUUAUGGAGCCUCUAGCAGGUAAUUGACAUGAAAUCAUGUCAUAAUUUUAUCACAUUACACUCUCACUUAUGAACUUAGAGUACCUCCCCACUGCCAAAUUAAUCAAAUUAAACCUCCUGCCAGAUUUCAAGACCAUCUAUCAUCUGGUGGCAUUCUAUCUCCACUCCCCUUUUUAACUGGCCUCGUCAGUCAGUUGUCCACAUGGCCACUCCUUCCUGACUAAUUUUAGUCUCUCACCUUCCCCCGUUUUUGUGUUGCCGUCUGAAGGGCUUCUAGGUCGAUUCCUGGUUUCACUUUAUCUAUUUUCCCAGGACUGAGCUAAACUGUGCCCUCUUCUGCCCAGUCAUCCUCAGCUACAGGGGGUUUCUCCUCUUUUCUGGAUUCUAACAGCCAAAUUCCCAAAUUCCAACUUUGUGUUUUCUCCCCUCUAAUGACAUUAUGUACCAAGCAAAAAUAAUUUAAAAAGAAAUCAAUAUCUGCUUUAAACUUUGCAUUGGAUAACUAUGAGAACCACACCAUCACUGUCACUGUCACCAUUCCUUCUUGUUAAGUAAAACAAAACUCAGGGAAUUCAAUCUACUUUCCCAUGAGCACUCAGUUAACUAGGGUUGAGGAACUUGCUUAUGCAAAUUCAGGUUUUCCUCAUUGGAGGGCCCCAUUACCCACGUGGGCCUCACAGUGAGAACUGAGAAGGUUUCCAGGCAAACAAGGGUCCUUGGUGGUGGAAAGAAGAACUCCCCAUUGGUGUGUGAAAAAGAAAGGCUUUCUCAGCUUGAUAAUCCACCCUCCUUACCAUAGGUAUUCCUAAACCCUUCUGAAACCUCAAAUGGCACUCAUUUUGGGGACCUCAGAACCUCUUUGGUCCGAUGGCUUGCAUAGUUUCUCCAGGAACCCUGUCGGUCCUGAAGCCCGGAGAAAAGGGUGCAUUUUCAGACACUGACCUCGGAAAGCUCAGACGCAAGGUUGUUUUGCUUGAAACCGAAAGUGAAAACUUCCUAUGACAUUUAAAACAUCCCUACGACAGGGCCUUUGUGAGCCGGUGUGGGCAAACCCACGCCGGUCCUGAGAAGUAUCGCCGACCAUUCUGCUGUCUGACUCACACAUUUCAGCAGGCACCCGGGUGGAACCAGCUCAGAUUGCAGCUCAUUAGCGCGGCCGAAUAGGAGUUUAAGGGAAAGUGUGUGGUAAACAAUGGAUUCCAAGGCUGCGGUGAAAGCAUGUCAGUGUUAUUCUUGAUGUGCAUUCAAAGGCAUUAAAGCCUCAAGUCGAAAUUCUUUGCUACCUGGAGAAUCUUUAUGCACAAGUGGAAACCCUUCCAUCAAGACACCAUGGCGACCCUCCCACAGACUUUUCUGUGAUGGUGCAGUGGAGAUUGGGAGGAUCUGGAUCGACUUAAUCCUUGCUGGCCAUGGGCUUUAACCCUCACCUCAGCAUGCAUACCCCCCUCUCUAUCCCCCGGGUUUCUGAAGAUAAAUGGGCAGAAUCUUUUAGGGUGCCAAGGACAGGACUGCGAACAGAUGGACUAAAACCAUGGCCUCAUCUUCCAGCGGAAAAAUAAGAGCCGGCUUCAUCUCAGUCAAAGGAUUUUCUGAACUGACCAUGAAGUAAGCGUCCCUUUAUCUGCAAGGCUACUGGUGAACAUGUGGUUCUUUCUUGUUCUAUGGAACCAAUGGAAAUUACUGCUUCCCUACGUCUGCACUUGGUUCUUCCUGUUUGCCUAUUUCUAUGGAAAAAUAUGUAUGCAUACAUAUAUUUACACAUAUGUUUGUACAUGUAUAUACAUAUAUGUAUCUGUAUAUGUACAUAACUAUACAAUCAUAUAUUACACACACACACAUUCUGACUACACAAAGCACACUCUUUCACAUCAUCUUCCCCUUCUUCUGAAUCCUGCUUUUUCUCACUAUACUUUCUUCUCAUUUGCAUAUAAAACAUUCCCCUCCAUGAGGGCCUGUACCCCCUUGGCCCAUCAUUAGACUGAAAUAUCGGCCCAGACUUGACGGCAUUCCUCACAGAAGACAAGAACCCUUUCCGUGUUUCUUCGGUUCACGCCUAGCUUCUCUUCCUCUGUCUUUACAUUUUCACCAACAGACUCCCACACAAGCUCUUCCAACAAAAUGCUUGCUGUGUAAUACCCUUCCUGGUGAGUGAGUUUUGAAAUGUGAGAUGCUACAGGCUUAGAGCCAAUUCCAUCCACUCUGGUACUUCCCCAGUUUGUGGGUUCUCUCUCCCUCCCCCCCCUCUCUAAUUUGGAUAUCACAUGAGAGUCACAGGCAAAGUAAAAAUUGGGGAAGGUGGGUAAAGUGUGGUAGCAGGCAAUGUAUGCCAAAGAAAGAAUUCCAAAGGGUAUAGGUAAAACUGACAAGGGGACAUUGGCUUCUGUGUGAGCUCAGGCUUUUGUUGUUGUUGUUUGUGGUGUCUUUUUGUUGGUUUUUGUUUUUCCCAUGCUGUGACAGAGCUCUCCCUUGGCUUGGCACACUGCUGUUUAAUAAAUCCCACAGUCAUAAAAACACAUCAGACAAUUUUUCUUCCUUCAAGGCAAAUCUAAUCUGGGCUCUUUCUUUGGUCCCACUCUCCCAUUUCCCUCUGACAUUAAAACAAGCCAUCAGUGUUUCAUUACAAUACAACUAUCAUCUCUGUGUGGUCAGCCGACCUUUCCGGGAGGCUUAACUCCUGUCAGUUUUGAAGAGAAGAAUAAAACACCAUGCAGUCAGCAGGCACAUCCUCACAAAAGAAAUGAAGACAUUUCUUCCAAGACAGGGUCAGGACCAUAGGGCCUUAGGCAGUACCUUUACCCCAGUGACUGUAGGGAGAAAGAAGGUUGGGGUGGGAGCCGGAGGCUGAGAGAAAGCCACAGCUCAAAAGAGCAGUAGAUUUUUAAAAAGCCCCAAAUGAAAUUAACUCCAUGGUCUCUUCUUACUCUGUAUAUUACUUUCAAAAAUUAAAUAUGACAGAAAGGAUGAAUGUGGACUUUGCUCAAAGAUGGUUAAUGGUGCAGUGUUUGGGACAGGGGACGGGACAGAGGAGGCAGUACCAUCUCUAUCUGUUCCGAUGCCAACAAACACUGAGAGGGAUGGAACAGAUGCAAGCAGGACAGGAAGCUGCUCCCCAGAAGCCACACCAAAUUUCCCAGUUAAAGGUUUCAUGAAAUGUGCACAUGGAGGGGACACAGGGGAAGAAAGAGAUAGUGGGAAUGGGAAUAUUUUGGAGGAAGAAGUUGUGGGGUUUCACAGCAUACCAAGGUAGCUGUAAUUUGUAACGAUUUAUAGGAUACUUAGUAAAGAACCAGAAAAGAGGUGCGUGAGGGCCCCCAACAUUCCCAUAAAAGAAUGAUAAAUGUUUAAGGAGGGAAAUGAGAACUGUGCCCAUUUGAUAAUUUCUUAGUGUAUACACUGAAUUCACUCCAUCCCAUGAACUCACAUAAUCCUUUAUGGGUCUACCAAACCCACAUAAAUUAAAAAAUAAGUUUCUGAACGUUGAGGACAGGGUUUGUCAGAGCUGUGAAGGCAGCGUGAACUGGAGUGAGCCUGUUUACCUGGGCCAGAUAGAGACACUCAUCUCCCCUCUUUUCUCCAUUAAUGUCCUCAGCCUCUUGCUAUAUCAUGACCAAGCAGUGAGGAGCUGUCAGUGUGGUCCAGUUAGGAUAAAAAGACCUGCUUAAGCAAUGGCAGUUCCUUCAUUCCCUGCAUUGCAUUGGGAGGCUAUGUUGAAGGCGACUUUCAGUGAGUCUAGUAGACAUUCAUUUAGUGCCGCGGAGAUAAGCAAAGUGAGGCAAAGAAAGGACCUGGUCUAGAAUGGUUCUCCUCCAGCUCUUGUUGACAUUUGAAUAGGGUUGUAGACACUUGGGGAUGUGGUCACGUGAUUACAAAGUAUAAAUACGCCUACUGUCUGGCUUCACAGGGACAUCCUAAGACACCGGAUCUGAAGGUGAAUGUGAUUUGGGAACCCCCAACCUUUCGGUGCUCCCCUAGGGACUAAGAGUCAUAUCGGUUCUUUCUUUCCUUUGCAUCAUUCUCAGUAGCGAGGGCUGUAGCUGAAUUACAUAGAUAUCAAUUAGACCCAGUGGAAGAUAAACCACCCUCAGUGCAAAACGGUUUUGCAGGAUGAGUUAUUCUUCAGAGUCCCCUUCAUAAUAUAUUUGAAAUAUAGAUUGAUGGUCGGCAUUACACACAUUACUCUCAUCUAUUAGGCAAGAGCCUGCCGUGUCUAUAAACUCAAUUUCCUCCAGCAUGGUAGCUUUCUGGGUUAUUUGGAUAAAUGUGAUGCUGUCCACUAUUGUUUAUCUCAGUAGUUCAUGAGGGAGCCAAAAACUUAAUGGUGUCAGAUGAGGGGGCGGAACAUCACCUCUGUUCUCAAUGGCUGCUUUUCUUCUCGGCACAUUGGUUGGAUGACCGAUUUAAGGCAUUGUGAGGAGUAUUACAGGUAAUCUGGUAGGCUGGGAGCCAGUCCUCUAUACUCUUCUAGUUUCUCCAUAUUUUACCGUCCUUGAUCUAGAAUUUCAUAGUCUUCAUUGUUGACUUAAUGCUUCUAAUUAGUUCUAUUCAGAGUCCAUGCAUUUUUCCUUUGGUUCUUAAACUUCUCCCAUCAUCCUCUUUGAUAUGAGUCCCCCCCCUUUUUUUUUGGCUCUGGACUUUGUACUUCUGAUGUCUCAAGAAGUGAAAGAUAACUAGAGGCCAGGUUUUUGUUUGUUUGGAUGAUUUAAAAAUUUAAAAUUUGGAAGGGAGGUGACAACGUUGUCAUUCGAUAACAGACUAGACAGAAAGAGACACAAAUGUCCUCACUUUCAGUGCAAUCCACCUUUCAGGGAAAGAAAACAGAUGAUGAUGGACCAUUGACUCAUACCAAUAAGUUAAUAAAAAGCUUUUUAGUACAGCUUCUGUCCCCUGACGUUCCUGAGAAAUAGGAAACCCACGCCUUUUAUCACUGUUAUGUGCCUGAUUAACAUUAGACUUCCAGUCACUUAUGCAAAACAUAACUUACCCCAGGCCUUUUAAACCUUCCUAUUAACUGUACACUUUUAUGGGGUUGCUUGUGAUGAACAGAGAAAAGUCAAAUAAAAAUGUCCCUGAUUCUGGGAUUGGUCAGCAGAUUCCUGAACACUGCAUUACCAAUCAAUCACUUGGCAAAAUAAAAUUUCAUGAUCAAUGGAAAGGCCACAAACUCACAAACGUAAGUCUAUAGACAUGCUCCUAAUAAAUUUUAGAUUAACAUAAAUUAGUAAUAGAUAAUAUUAGCAUACAACAUUAUAAGAUUUCUUCUCCCCUUUGGAAAGAGAGUAACCCCACAAUUCUCUCGAGAUUCAGGAAGUCUGGAAGUCUUGUUAUUAAAAGAAAAUUUAAAUACACAUACUCUAAAUUUAGCUAAUUCCCCCCAGAAGUCUAUGGUGAUAAAAUUUAGGACAUAAAGUAGCUUUAAAACCAGUUUUUUUUAAAUGCAUCUAAUUCCCAGGCACUUCCGAACUUCCUGGAAGGAUUUCAAUGCGUUUAUUGGGGCCUGAAGAACAGGAGGCGAUGGGCUUGCUUGCCACUCCCUUCUCUCUGGGGAACAGAAGCCCGUCUAAUCUAAACUUCAUUAAGGUGACUUUAAAGCGCUUAUGGUGUAAUAUAAGUCAGCAAACGGAGAGAAUUGCAUCAUGGCCGCCCAGGCAAAAGUAAGGUAAUAUGUCCUUCUUUUCUAAAGAUCGCAGUCCCCAGGGGAGAGGCAAACGUGUUUGCACAAAUCUUCCCACAAAUGACCUAACUUGACUGAAAACCCAGCCCAAGGGAAGGGCCUUCCCUAGCAGCUGUGAAGAAAACCAUGAUGAAAAGACUUGCAAAGACAGGGGCAAAGUUCCCCCUCCCUUCUUACCCAUACCUUUGUUUUUGAGCAGCAAAAAGCUUUUGAAAUACGCUGCAUGUUCCAUUUUUUAUAAAUUUCUCUCUGGUUAUAAGAGAGGAGGAUAGGA
RNAcentral lists this small RNA (6006 nucleotides) under Rattus norvegicus (Norway rat). RNAcentral describes it as "uncharacterized LOC108352204". Lineage: Eukaryota; Metazoa; Chordata; Mammalia; Rodentia; Muridae. The record is from RNAcentral.